GAUGAACGCUGGCGGCGUGCCUAACACAUGCGAGUCGAACGGAGUCCAGCCUUUAAGACCUUCGAGUCAAAGAGGGGAAGACUGAGUGGCGGACGGGUGAGUAACACGUGGGCAACCUGGCUCAUAGAGGGGGAUAACAGAGAGAAAUUUCUGCUAAUACCGCAUAAGCACACACUGCCGCAUGGCAGAGGGUGAAAAGAGAAUCGCUAUGAGAUGGACCCGCGUCUGAUUAGCCAGUUGGCAGGGUAAGAGCCUACCAAAGCGACGAUCAGUAGCCGAUCUGAGAGGAUGAACGGCCACAUUGGGACUGAGACACGGCCCAAACUCCUACGGGAGGCAGCAGUGGGGGAUAUUGCACAAUGGGGGGAACCCUGAUGCAGCGACGCCGCGUGAGUGAAGAAGUAUUUCGGUAUGUAAAGCUCUAUCAGCAGGGAAGAUAAUGACAGUACCUGAAGAAGAAGCCCCGGCUAACUACGUG
RNAcentral lists this ribosomal RNA (478 nucleotides) under uncultured bacterium. Its description in RNAcentral is "partial 16S ribosomal RNA". It matches the Rfam family "Bacterial small subunit ribosomal RNA", at positions 28 to 507 of the family's 1533-position model. The record is from RNAcentral.